Pan troglodytes (chimpanzee) is the source of this 3386-nucleotide long non-coding RNA. RefSeq lists it as uncharacterized. The transcript is spliced from 4 exons. NCBI's taxonomy places the organism in Eukaryota, Metazoa, Chordata, Mammalia, Primates, Hominidae. The record is from RefSeq and is a predicted model, not a curated record.
UUGACCAAAGCAAGUCACAAAGCUAGCCCAGACUAGGGAAGUGAAGGGAGAACAGCCUUCUCCGCCAGAAAAAAAAAAAAAAAAUUAAUGUAUUUGUAAUUUUGACAAAUUUUGCAAAAUCAACCUCUAGGGAUAUACCAAUUUAUAUUCUACUGGCAAUGUAUAAGAACAGCUAGCAACUGAGUAUUUUCACUGUGUAUUUUGUCUGUGUAAAAAGGCUGAUGCUAUGACUACAGAAAAACAUUUCAUGGGAAUGGUUCCUGCAAGCAUAGAAUACCAGGCUGCCUCACAAGCUCUUUAGGGCUGGAAGAUAGAGAAAACUCACUCCUUUGGGCACCGGUUUCAAGCCAGAAUUAAGCUUUUGGUAUUUCUGUCCCUGGAGCUCACAGGUUCUCUGAAUUGUACUCUCAGACGUAUCCAACUCAGAAGUCAGGUGCGUGCAUAGGUCGCCCUUCGUUAAGAUUCUCCACUUACGGAGGUGGUGGACCUGGCAGGGUGUUGUAGGAAGGAGUGGCAUGUGCUGAGAAGCUCACAGGAUCCUUAGUCCUGGCUGUGACUCACAGUUAACAAAGAGUGAAGAGGACACUAUCAUCAUCAUCAUCAACAUCAUCAUCAUCAUCAUCAUUAUUAUUUGCCUGAAGGCCCAGAGUACACCGUAAUGGAGUACUGCUGAUGGGAAAGGGAUUAGCAUUGACCUCUCAGGAGGUUAAUUUGGGAGUUUAGCUCAUGAUCUAGUAAUUCUGCUUCUGGGAGUUUAUGAGAAGGAAGUGCUCUAAUAUGUGCGCCUGUGUGAUCGCUGGGCUUUAGCAUUUUAGGGGUGAGCCAACUGUAUCUCAGAGGUGGCCAUGUCUUGCAUUGAGGAGAGAGAGCACCCGCAAGAACUUCCAUGCUAUAUUCUAUUUGGGAAGAACUUGAACCUUGCAUAACGUAAACGAAGAGAAUUAACAAGAAUUUGUGGCACCCCUUCUGUGUCAGUUCUUCUUCCAGAUAAUAGGAAUAUAGCAAUAAACAAAACAGACCAGGUUCCUGCCCUCAUGGGGGAAAGAGGCAAUCUAAAAAUGAAAAAUGGGCCAGGCGCGGUGGCCCACGCCUGUAAUCCCAGCACUUUCGGAGGCCAAGGUGGACGGAUUACCCAAGGUCAGGAGUUCAAGACCAGCCUGGCCAACAUGGCGAAACCCCAUCUCUACUAAAAAUACAAAAAUUAGCUGGGCGUGGUGGCACGUGCCUGUAAGGCCAGCUACUCGGGAGGCUGAGGCAGGAGAAUUGCUUGAACCCAGGAGGGGGAGGUUGUAGUGAGCUAAGAUUGUGCCAUUGCACUCCAGCCUGGACGACAGAGCGAGACUUCAUCUCAAAAUAAAUAAAUAAAUAAAAAUAAAGAUGAAAAAUGUCACCAAAUGUCAGAUUAAGUACCAAGAGGGAAAAUAAAGCAGCGUCAAGGAUUAGAGAGUAAUAUGGGUGCUAUUUUUAGAUAAGGUGGUCAAGGGGGGCCUCUUUGAGGAGGUGCCGUUGGGUCAGAGACAUGAAUGAACAAAGGCAGGAAACUAUGCUGAUAUCUGAAGGCAGAACAUUUCAGGAGCGGAGAAAGUAAUACACAGGCCGAAGAUGAGAAGGAAGUUUACGAACUUCGUUUCUGAGACAAGGUCUCAUCCUAUCGUCCAGCCUGGAAUACAGUGGCGUGAUCAUAGCUCACUGUAACAUCGAACUCCUGGGCUCAAGCGACCCUCUCGUCUCAGCCUCCUGAGAAUGAACUUCUUUAUUCAGGGGACAGCAGGGAGACCAAUGUGGCUGGAGCAUGGUGAGCAAGCAGGGAGGGUGAUAGCAGCUGAGGUUGGAGAGAAAGCCAGGGGACAGAUCACACUGGCUUUUGAUUUGGGUCAAGUCAGGUGGGAAACCAUUGGAAAGUUUUGAAGUGGAACAUGACCUUUGCUGGCUUAAAUAUUGAAAGGCUAUCCAUGAGGAGUAAAUUACAGCUGGGCAAGAGUGGACACAGAGAGACCAAUUAAGACCUAUUGCAAGUGGUCCAUCCAGGAGGCUGUCAGGAGGCUGGACCAGGGCAGGGCAGCAGUGGAGAAGGUGAGAAGUGGUCAGAGGCAAUAACACUAUAAGAGCAAAGCUGAAGGGAUUUGCUACGAGGUCAAAUGUGAAUUGUAAUAGAAAGAUGAGAGUCAAGGAUGACUUCAAGGUUUUUGGCCUGAGCAAGUGGAAGAAUGGAGCCGUUAUUUACUAAGAAGGGGGAUGCUAGGCAGGAGCAGGUUUGGGAAUAAUGCAGAAUUUAGUUAUGGACAGAUUAAGAAUGAGAUACAGCCUGGGCAACAUGGUGAAACCCCAUCUCUACUAAAAAUACAAAAAGAUUAGCUGGGCAUGGUGGUGCGCACCUAUAAUCCCAGCUACUUGGGAAGCUGAGGCAGGAGCAUCGCUUGAGCCCGGGAGGUGGAGGUUGCAGUGAGCCGAGAGUGUGCCACUACACUCCAGCCUGGGCGACAGAGUGAGACCCUGUCUCAAAAAAAAAAGAAAAAAAAGAAAAAGAAUGAGAUACAGAAUAACCAUUCAAACUGGGUUAUUUAGGUUCUAUCCAAUACUUUUGUGUUUUUAGUGGUGCAAUUGGGCACAUGAGUCUGGAGGUCAGGACAGAAAAUACAAAUUUGAGACUCAUUAGUGUAUAGAGGGUAUUUAAAGCCGUUAGACUGGGUGAGCUCAUGCAGGAGUAAGCAAUAAUAGAGAAGAGAUCUAAAGUCUGCGUACUGGGACACCCUGAUGCUGAGAGGUCAGGAUGAAGAGAAUGAGCCAGUGAGUGAGGAAGAAAACCAGGAGAAUGUAGCGUUCUCGAAGCUAAAUGAAGAAGAUGUUUUAAGGAGGAAGCUGCUGCCUGGGAUGUGGGAGGGAUUAAAUAAUAAGCAGGAGGGGCUGGGCGCAGUGGCUCAUGCCUGUAAUCCCAGCACUUUGGGAGGUUGAGGCAGGUGGAUCACCUGAGGUCAGGAGUUCGAGACCAGCCUGGCCAACAUGGCAAAACCCCAUCUCUAUAAAAAAUACAAAAAUUAGCUAGGCAAGGUGGAGUGCGUCUGUAAUCCCAGCUACUUGGGAGGCUGGGGCAGGAGAAUCGCCUGAACCUGGGAGGCGGAGGUUGCAGUGAGCCAAGAUUGUGCCACUGCACUCCAGCCUGGGUGACAAAACGAAACUCUGUCUCAAUAAAAAUAAAAAAUAAAAAUAAGCAGGAGGCAUUUGGAAUUUUCAGGGCUGCUUGAGUGAGAAGAUAAAGAGUUUAGGUACAAAGGCUGGGCAUGGUGGCUUACGUCUGUAAUCCUAGCACAUUGUGAGGCAGAGGCAGGAGGAUGGUUUGAGGCCAGGAGUUUGAGACCAGCCUGGGAGACCCUUAUUUUUAAAUUAAA